Peromyscus eremicus (cactus mouse) is the source of this 593-nucleotide long non-coding RNA. RefSeq lists it as uncharacterized. The transcript has 3 exons. Lineage: Eukaryota; Metazoa; Chordata; Mammalia; Rodentia; Cricetidae. The record is from RefSeq and is a predicted model, not a curated record.
AUGAGGGUGGACAAGAGCUGGGAUGCAGAGCCCUGAAUUCCGACAGAGAGGCCAAUACUCUCUCAGCUCACUGCACGGCUUGGGCAGACACCGAGCAAGCAGUGAUUUGAGGACAAGUGUAUUUCCCGCCUUCAGUUACUACACACAAAAACUCACAGAAGACCCAUCAUCAAUAAGGAUUCGAGGCUCGCCUUGAUAUGGAACAAGUUCACAGGGCAAACAAGAUAGACAACAGAAAGCCACUGGCCAGUUUGCCUAUGAAAGAUGUGAGAAGAAGCAGGCAAAGACAGAGUGAGGAUGUCUUCUUGUCCUUUGAUUGAAAACACAUCACGGGGACACUAGGAAGUUUCCGAACUAUCCAAACAACUUUCAGAUCCUGGAAAUGAAAAUGUUAAUGCAGGUUAUGGAGAGGGCUUCAGGCUCUUAUAAUAAUGCCAACCUUAAGACCCUCAACUUGGUUUAGGGUUGUUAAUGUCACAGCUUAGGGAUAAACCUGAGGUGGCCAUCAUGGAGCUCCUUGGCUUAAGGCUUGGGGGACAUGAUGAGAUGAGGGGGUACAAGAGUCAGAGGACUCUGAGAUGGGUAUGGAGGAA